Molecule: ribosomal RNA, 372 nt
Filed under: uncultured organism
Description: partial 16S ribosomal RNA
Rfam family: Bacterial small subunit ribosomal RNA
Source: RNAcentral
GUAGGUGGCAAGCGUUGUCCGGAAUUAUUGGGCGUAAAGCGCGCGCAGGCGGUCCUUUAAGUCUGAUGUGAAAGCCCACGGCUCAACCGUGGAGGGUCAUUGGAAACUGGGGGACUUGAGUACAGAAGAGGAAAGCGGAAUUCCAAGUGUAGCGGUGAAAUGCGUAGAGAUUUGGAGGAACACCAGUGGCGAAGGCGGCUUUCUGGUCUGUGACUGACGCUGAGGCGCGAAAGCGUGGGAAGCAAACAGGGAUUAGAUACCCUGGUAGUCCACGCCGUAAACGAUGAGUGCUAAGUGUUAGGGGGUUUCCGCCCCCUUAGUGCUGCAGCUAACGCAUUAAGCACUCCGCCUGGGGAUACGGCCGCAAGGCUG